CGUAUCACCCAAGACAACUUUACGGAGUUGACGAUUGACGGAGCGAAGCGACGUCAAAGCGUUCAUUAAAGUCGAGUUGGCUUAGGGAUACGUUCGUUGGGUAGGGGAGCGUUCUGUAAGCCUGUGAAGGUGUGUCGUGAGGCAUGCUGGAGGUAUCAGAAGUGCGAAUGCUGACAUAAGUAACGAUAAAGCGGGUGAAAAGCCCGCUCGCCGGAAGACCAAGGGUUCCUGUCCAACGUUAAUCGGGGCAGGGUGAGUCGACCCCUAAGGCGAGGCCGAAAGGCGUAGUCGA
Molecule: ribosomal RNA, 292 nt
Filed under: Salmonella enterica
Lineage: Bacteria; Pseudomonadati; Pseudomonadota; Gammaproteobacteria; Enterobacterales; Enterobacteriaceae
Also listed under: 2 other names
Description: partial 23S ribosomal RNA
Rfam family: Bacterial large subunit ribosomal RNA
Source: RNAcentral